RNAcentral lists this ribosomal RNA (309 nucleotides) under Triticum aestivum (bread wheat). RNAcentral describes it as "partial small subunit ribosomal RNA". The stretch from base 139 to 277 matches the Rfam family "Small nucleolar RNA Z247". The record is from RNAcentral. Lineage: Eukaryota; Viridiplantae; Streptophyta; Magnoliopsida; Poales; Poaceae.
AUGUUCUCGUCCCAAUCCCUCAGCCGCGUCAACAACAUCCGGACUGCGCUCAUCAAUGCGCAGAAGGGCAACCAGUCCGUUGCCUCCUACUUCGCCUCCCUCCGCGGCCUCGCUGAUGAGCUCGCCGCCGCCGGCAAACCCAUCCAAGACGACGAGUUGAUCUCGUACAUCCUCCAUGGGCUGGACGUCGACUACCAGCCGCUCGUCUCCGCUCUCGAUGCCCGCGUCACGGCUGUCACCCUCGAUGAGCUCUAUGCCAUGCUGAGCAACUUCGAUCAGCGCAUGGCCCAAUUUCAUGGCUCCUCCGGC